This 445-nucleotide ribosomal RNA is filed under the name uncultured bacterium. Its description in RNAcentral is "bacterial SSU rRNA". It matches the Rfam family "Bacterial small subunit ribosomal RNA", at positions 354 to 796 of the family's 1533-position model. The record is from RNAcentral.
GUAGGGAAUAUUGGACAAUGGGCGAAAGCCUGAUCCAGCCAUGCCGCGUGAUAGAUGAAGGCCCUCUGGGUUGUAAAUAUCUUUUAUCUGGGAAGAAACUCCUCUAUUCUUAGAGGCCUGACGGUACCAGAGGAAUAAGCACCGGCUAACUCCGUGCCAGCAGCCGCGGUAAUACGGAGGGUGCAAGCGUUAUCCGGAUUCACUGGGUUUAAAGGGUGCGUAGGCGGGUUGAUAAGUCAGUGGUGAAAGCUCCGGGCUUAACUUGGAAACUGCCAUUGAUACUGUCAAUCUUGAAUGUCGUAGAGGUAAGCGGAAUGUUGCAUGUAGCGGUGAAAUGCUUAGAUAUGUUACAGAACACCAAUUGCGAAGGCAGCUUACUAUGCGAUAAUUGACGCUGAGGCACGAAAGCGUGGGGAGCAAACAGGAUUAGAUACCCGGGUAGUCC